RNAcentral lists this unclassified non-coding RNA (348 nucleotides) under soil metagenome. RNAcentral describes it as "partial contains 5.8S ribosomal RNA, internal transcribed spacer 2, and large subunit ribosomal RNA". The stretch from base 1 to 120 matches the Rfam family "5.8S ribosomal RNA", at positions 35 to 154 of the family's 154-position model. The record is from RNAcentral.
GAUGAAGAACGUAGCGAAAUGCGAUAAGUAAUGUGAAUUGCAGAAUUCAGUGAAUCAUCGAAUCUUUGAACGCACAUUGCGCCCGCCAGUAUUCUGGCGGGCAUGCCUGUCUGAGCGUCAUUUCAACCCUCAUGCCCCUAGGGCGUGGUGUUGGGGACCGGCCAAAGCCCGCGAGGGACGGCCGGCCCCUAAAUCUAGUGGCGGACCCGUCGUGGCCUCCUCUGCGAAGUAGUGAUAUUCCGCAUCGGAGAGCGAUGAGCCCCUGCCGUUAAACCCCCAACUUUCCAAGGUUGACCUCAGAUCAGGUAGGAAUACCCGCUGAACUUAAGCAUAUCAAUAAGCGGAGGA